AUGAUGAAGGACAAUGUGAAUAAUGAUAGACUGUUCUUUGGCAGUGGGACAAAACUUACAGUCAUAGGGAAGGAUGAUGAAAUCCUACCUCCAGCUGUGGCCAUCUUUUCCCCAUCAAAGCAGGAGAUCCAGCAGAAGAGCAAGGCCACGCUGGUGUGCCUGGCCUCUGGCUUCUACCCUGACCACCUGACUCUGGCCUGGAGGGUGAAUGGUGUGAGAAGGACCGAGGGGGUGGGGACAGACGAGUUCUCCACACAGAAUGGGAGCACCUACUCGCUGACCAGCCGACUGAGGAUGCCAGCCUGGGAAUGGUUCAACCCUUUGAAUCGCUUUGAGUGUGUUGCCAAUUUUUUUCACAAUGGAACAACGCAGUCAAUAAACAAAUUUAUCCAUGGUGAUGCUGGUUGUGCACUCACAGAAGGUACGUGUGGCUUCUCACAUAAGGAGAAUUUUGCCUCUUCUCUCAGGCAAUUAUCUGUGUGUAUUUUAAUUCCAGCUUUACUGACACUAAGCACAACGUGUGGGAGAUAUCUGCUGUAUGGAUAGCUUCUUCUUUCUCAUCUAAGUGAUUUGUAUGUGAUAUUAAAAAUGAAAAAACAAAAAAGGAA
This is a non-coding RNA of Parus major (Great Tit), 608 nucleotides long. NCBI's taxonomy places the organism in Eukaryota, Metazoa, Chordata, Aves, Passeriformes, Paridae. The record is from the annotation of a RefSeq genome assembly.